AGAUUGAACGCUGGCGGCAGGCCUAACACAUGCAAGUCGAGCGGCAGCACGGGUACUUGUACCUGGUGGCGAGCGGCGGACGGGUGAGUAAUGCCUAGGAAUCUGCCUGGUAGUGGGGGAUAACGCUCGGAAACGGACGCUAAUACCGCAUACGUCCUACGGGAGAAAGCGGGGGACCUUCGGGCCUCGCGCCAUUAGAUGAGCCUAGGUCGGAUUAGCUAGUUGGUGAGGUAAUGGCUCACCAAGGCGACGAUCCGUAACUGGUCUGAGAGGAUGAUCAGCCACACUGGGACUGAGACACGGCCCAGACUCCUACGGGAGCAGCAGUAGGAAUAUGGACAAUGGGCGCAAGCCUGAUCCAGCAAUGCCGCGUGAGCGAUGAAGGCCUUAGGGUGUAAGCUCUUUACCGA
Molecule: ribosomal RNA, 410 nt
Filed under: uncultured soil bacterium
Lineage: Bacteria
Description: bacterial SSU rRNA
Rfam family: Bacterial small subunit ribosomal RNA
Source: RNAcentral